RNAcentral lists this ribosomal RNA (506 nucleotides) under uncultured bacterium. Its description in RNAcentral is "partial 16S ribosomal RNA". It matches the Rfam family "Bacterial small subunit ribosomal RNA", at positions 28 to 523 of the family's 1533-position model. The record is from RNAcentral.
GAUGAGCGCUAGCUACAGGCUUAACACAUGCAAGUCGAGGGGUAACGAGAGGAAAGCUUGCUUUCCUUGUCGACGACCGGCGCACGGGUGAGUAACGCGUAUCCAACCUGCCCCCAACUAGGGAAUAACCUUGCGAAAGUAAGACUAAUACCCUAUAAUUUCCUCAGAUGACAUCUGACGAGGACUAAAGAUUUAUCGGUUGUGGAUGGGGAUGCGUCUGAUUAGCUUGUUGGCGGGGUAACGGCCCACCAAGGCAACGAUCAGUAGGGGUUCCGAGAGGAAGGUCCCCCACAUUGGAACUGAGACACGGUCCAAACUCCUACGGGAGGCAGCAGUGAGGAAUAUUGGUCAAUGGGCGGAAGCCUGAACCAGCCAAGUAGCGUGCAGGAUGACGGCCCUAUGGGUUGUAAACUGCUUUUAUACAGGAAUAAAGUUAGCCACGUGUGGUUAUUUGUAGGUACUGUAUGAAUAAGGACCGGCUAAUUCCGUGCCAGCCGCCGCGGUAA